UAAGUAAGUAAAACGAGGCAUUCAUCAGUGAAUAACUUUAAAAAUCUUUCUGUUUAUAAAUCCUUGCCUCCUUCAUGAUAUGAUCCAUCUGAAUCCUUACACUCAGCUUACCCUCCCGCUGCACUCUGUACGUAAUAAUUAGAAGGAGGAGGACGGUGCAGGCCUCAUGCAGAGACCAUCACCAGCCUGCGACCGAUCGCUCACUUGAUACGGCGGCGGGACGAGGAGGACGAGACCCGGCGUCGAAGGAGCCGGAGGCGGCCGUCGAAGUGGACGCGGUUUGGCUCGUGUACGGCGAGGCGGCAGCGGAUGCAGCAGGGGUUGCGGUGGUGGAUGCUCGUUGAGCGAAGGGCGAAGUCGGGGUGGCGGUGGGAAGUGGUGGAGGAGCGGCGGUUGGUUGAGGGCGGGGUGUGGCUGUGGUCGUUUCGGUAAGGGCGCUUUUGUCGGCACGCGUAGGGGAAGGCCACGGCGACGCGGCCGCCGCACCCGGUCAGCCUGGACCUCUAGAUGUGGCCGCCGGCACCGCUACCGAUGAUGUACCUCCAGCAGUGGCGGUUGUUGCAACGACGCCCGUUUAUGGUACCCGCCUCCGGCGAAGGGACGUCGACGCUGUUCCACCUGCCGAGGUUGCACUACGUGGAACGGAUGCACUAGGAGGCGUGUCGACUGUUGUGGAGGCUCUAGCGGCGGUUCAUACCCGACGCCCUCAGUUGCGACGAGUCCUAGUUAUUAUAGUGAUCGUCGGUCGACGAGGAAGCGGUUCCGGUGUAAGAACUAUAGGGCGAUAAGGUUCCUUACCCGUGUACCAGGUCGCAUGUAAUAUAGAGUCGUGUAUCCUCUUCUUCUAAUCUACACUUACUACUCUAACUCCGUUGUUCUCAUGAAUUGUAACAUUUUCAUAAAUAUGGGCAACACUCGCAAGAACACAUAGAGUAAUGUUGUACCACAAUGACCUCUUUGCGUGCGUUAAGGGAGAGCAGCCCCCGCUUACCGAAAUACCUUAAGCCAAUAUCGCUAGACCGAACGCGGUGCUUGUUUAAGAGGUCUCUACGAGAAGAACCUCUCCCAUUCAAACCGCGUCAUAUAUUCCGCUACAAGUUCCCGGUCCUUCACCGACACUUCUCUUAUUUUCGUCUCCCUUUCGAACUCCUGAAGGUGGCGCUCGAGGUCUGUCAACCAUUGUGCUCCGUGCUCUUAGAUCAACUGGAGCUUCCAACCACACCGUUUCAGUCUCACUAGCUACCCUUCUGAACCACCUUUUCCCAAUAGUUCCAACUUGAGAAGGAACAGAAACUUAAGUAUGGAUUACCGCUGGAACUUGUGGUGGACGUGUUGUCACUGGUUCAAGAUAGUACCCUGUUUUCCAUACAUAAACCUCGUUGAUUUUACUUAAAACGACUAAAUAGAUUACAUUGACUAAGACACAACAUGUAAAACCAUGUACGUAAAAGCACUUUUGGACCAGUUUUAAAACUUAAUCAAUCACGAUUCCCACCACCCUCUCCUUCACGUAUUCAGUUUACUGUUUCCUUGUGAUAAUUCUAAAAGAGAGAGUGAGAGUUGUAUUUAUUAAGAAAGUUUGUUUUAAUAAUACGUUCGGAAUCGAAGAGGAGGUAAGUAGAGUUUGAUCAAAAUUAAGUUUUUUUAACUUUCAGUUUGAUAGUAUUCAAACUGUAUCUAGUAUUCUUUUGUGACUGUAAAUACCGUGGUUUAAUCACAUAAUGUAAGUAGUAUUCUAUAUACAAAUAUUAUUUAGAUGAGCCAAGGUACUUAUGACCAUAUAAAAAACACAUUUCAAUCAUUUUGGAAAUCUAUCGAACUUAAAGGGGGGUUUUUUACUUAACAUCACCAUAAUUCCCUAUUUUAUUUUCAUCGAUUUCUCAAUUGUAUUUCUCUUUUAAAAGGUAGCUUACAUUUACUAGCAUCGAGGUCGUAGCGGGGCGUACCUGUGGUGUAUGUCAUGAUCGAAUCAGAAGCUAUCAUGCAGUAGUGGUAGAUUCUAUCCUUUUUUGAUAUAACAAUUCGAAGGAGUACGAUACAACUAAGUAUCUUUCAGAAUAAACGAAACAAGUGAUCUCUUUGAUUAUUAAAGUAUAGAGAUCAUGAACCAAUAUAACUACCAGAAUGCAUGACAGUAUAACUAUAUACCUUACAAUAAUAGCUUAUAAAGUGUACGUGAUGUCUUUUGUCGAGUAAACAGCUCCCAAAAAAAUUUACCGUGAGCUGUUUCCUCUAGCAACGGUUAACAAAAUACUUUUUGUUAUCAUAUUUCCAUUUUAUUUUUACUUAUCUGAGUUGUUUCCACCCCCUGUGUACAGGGCGGGUAGCACCAACUGCCCUUCCUCCGCUAGUCAAUCGAAACGAUUCACGGGGGCCAAACCGACAGCCGUUUCUAAAAAAAUUAAGGUAUAGGUACCGUAGUUAGUACUAUUACACCGGUAUAUAAAGCAUAUCUCCCGUAGAACGGUAGACUUUGUUAUAACGGUUGUGUUCAAGGAUUGAAAAACAAUUUUUAUCAAAAUAUAAAAGAUUAACGGUUUUUACCAAAAAAUCACUUCGUUCACGUUUCUCAUAUUCCAUUUUACGGCGGAGAGGUUAAAAGUGUGUUUUAUCUGAUAUAAUCUAUAUGUUAAGUGUUGUUAAAUCUUAAAAGAGCGAAACAUAGAUAUAAGCAGGUAAAUUUACUGAAAACCGGUUAUAAGGCUUUCAUUAAGUUUAAACUUGAUGUUCAUACAAGAACACAUCAGGUUAAAAGGUGGUUUUAGUAAAACGACGCAGAUUCAUCCUAAGAUACGUUAUAUUUUUGUACCACGACUUUCUAGAUCCUGGAACGCUACUUAUCAAAAUGGCUACUAUAAGUGGGGUAAUACUUUUUCACUUUUUGUUUUUAUUUUUCACGAUAUCAAAGUGUACCUCAACAAAAUACACAUGAAUCACCAGUACGUUUUACUAUUUUUACCUAAACUGUAUUUUUUGAAAGUCUUUUACCUGAUAGUACAUACUUGUAAGUACAAGUUCGCUUUACGGGUACAGUACCUGUAUAGGUACCGUAUCGAGCACUUUUGCACGGGUAUAAACCGUGUUUCCACGUAGAAAGGUACGGUUUGUUAUCACGGUUAUACUCAAUUGUUGAACAACGGUUCCAACCUUUUUCGCCAUCCGUAUUCGCUCCGCCAACCGGAAGCGGAACACGGAUCCGCCACGGAUUCGCGGGAUCCGCGCUGGAUCCGCCAUUAUAUCAAAAAUGAGCAUAACAUAAAUACUAAUAAUAUACCCACAACUAUAAACAAAUCCCGUAUAUUUAUUCAAUUAAUGAUAGAUGACGGUAACCUUAUAUUGGGCAAACCGUAUAGACACGUCAUACACCGUACUAAAGAACGAACCCAUCCGUUAAGGAACGAACAGCACGGAACUAGAGGUAAAUACGGGAUCCGCUCCGCAAACCGAUAACGGAUCACGGAUCCGCACGGAUUCGCGGAGGAUCCGUGACGGAAAAGGUUGUCUCGAACAACGAUGUUUUUUUUAAGUAAAAACUUCACAGUUUUUAGUAAAAAAAACACUUCCUUCACGUUUCUUAUCCCACAUUUUACUGUAGAGCGGAUUAAAGUGUGUUUCACAUGGUAUAAUAUACGGCUAAGUUUCAUAAUCAUAAAAGGGGUAAAAGAUCUAUGUAAGUGGGUAAAUUUACACAAGACUGGCUAAAGACUUUACAUUUAGUUUACACUUGAUCUUCACAUACGAUCAAACUAGGUCUUUUAAGGUUUUUAUUAAAAUUCCAUAGAUUCAUCCUAGAUACGUUAUCAGUGCCGCCCACAACUUUCUGGGUAUGGAAACGAUACUUAUCAAAACGGCUACUAAUUCUGGGGUAAAUUUUUUAGAUUAUUUCACUUCUUUUCAUUUUUUACGUUAAGAAAGCGGACUUCAAUCGAAUACACAACAUCAAGAAUCUUUUUUUUACUAUUUGUACCUAAAACUGUAUAAAAUAUUUGUUUUAAGUAUUUUACCUAAUAGUAUAUACUUGUAAUACUGAAAGUUUGGUUUACUGAUACCAGUACCGGUAUAAGUACCUUAUCAAGUAUUAUUACACGGGUAUGAACCGUGUUUCCACGUAGAAAGGUACGGUUUGUUAUCACUUUUAUAAUCAAAUAUUCCAAAACGAUGUACUUUACUAAAAACAACGGUUACUUUUUGUGAGUCGUUUCUGGGGAAACAGGCGAACAAGAUACGGCUCGCCCUCGUGAGCUAUUUAGGAAACGGCACACAAAAACACGCAAACGACUUUAGGCCAUCGCCAAUAGCUUUACAGAUGAAUUUUUAAGUCUAAAAAUUCUACACGAGGAUUUGAUAACAUUGGGUAAGGAUGAAAAACUAAAAUCCCGGUACUACUAAACAAUACAGGAUCCUCAAGUCUAAUCAUUUGCCUGAUCUUAGGGAUCAUGAACUUUUCCGUGGUCGACUAUUAUAAGUUUGUGUGGUAGUAGUUACGAAUGGUAAGAUACUUUACCUUAAAAAAACUGUCCACUUUAGUCAUAUACAACUGAAUAUACGUAUCACCUAUGUAGGAACAAGGGAAACGAAAAGUAACUUGAAACUUAUACUACUUUGAAUGUAACUAUAUUAUGACGUUUUAUUAAAACAAAAAGACAUAGUAAGUUUAGUUUACAUGGUAGUUAUUAACCACUGUAGCUCGGACGUUGUAAGAUAAUUGGUGUACGGGUACAAGGUUUUCUGAUUAUAAAAUAUAAGGACGAACGAAACGAUAUCCCUGAUCUACGUAUUAUAAACGAUACCAAAUAAUCCACUUGAUAAUGAGUACCAAGAUGCUGCUGAGAAAAUUUCCUUCCUUAAUGGCCUUAAUAAUAAAGGGUUUUACAUUAUAACAGCUAGUUACCAAUUCUAUGCUAACAUCCAGAAGGGAUACGUUCCUAUUAGUCCGUCCCAAAACGUACACAAAGGGGUACCAACUAAGUUCAGUUCCUAAAAGACUUACCAUAGUAUUAACGUACUUUUUAACUGAACGGUUAAGACACCGUGUAUUUUUUAUCCAUAAUAUAAUAAGUCCAGGGUCUUCUAUCUGUACUGACGACAGACUUUGUAAAGCGAACGAUUACAAACGUUAUCCAUGUUUUAUCACUUCCCCCAUCCCAGUCGGGAAGUAAUAGAGGUAGUGCUCACGUUAGGUACGUAGAACGUAUCUCUAUAGUUCGGACCAUUGUAUGAGGACCUACUCAUAAAGUUACGAUUCGAACCCCUGAAGCCCGAUAGGUACUAGCGGUCGUUUUUGUCUCUUUGUCACUAGUGUUGGCGGCACCCCAGUCACCCUAUGUACCUAGGUGUUGAGUACUUUCUGCCCCGACACCUCAAGUCGGCAUUCAGCCUGCAGAUGUCGAAGCCUUAGCAGGAUGAUUUCUAACGUACAUGCGUUUUUAGUUCCCUCCUUCAGACCGUCUACGCGCCACCGUCACUCGUCGUUCAAGUACACCUACCACAACACCUACUGUCCAAUUCGAAGAAACUGGCAUGGCUCUACCUCGCACACCAACAGGAACCGGAGUUCACAAGAGUGAGUCUUCUCCGUGUUGCUGGAAGCUACCUCCUACGUUACUUUAAGGAUCUCCUGCCGGUUCUCAAAGGACGGUGUUGUGUUCCUGUGCCGUCGAUACCACGCGGAACGUGACAUUUACUCCUCCGUGGAUACUACUGUGUACCACUACAGAGAAGAACAAUGGGCACUCGAUGUCCUAACUCACACAGACAGUACACUCCGGUUUGCGUAUCCCGGUACGACGCGGGUUCAAGUACAGGCUCAUAUCUUGAACAACUCAAGUAUAUCUCUACUCACCCUCAAGCCAAGGAUUCAGCCUUUCCAAAACAGGGCUUCUUCCAAUGGGAUGGCUUCCUAGGUUAAGGUUAAUAUCAGGUUCAGACAAAGCAGUUAACAUUAACCGAUAUAUAUAUCGGUGGGGGUGCACUAGUUAUUUCGUCGUCUUUACAAUUGGAGAAUGAGGAUGCAGCGAGUUCGAAGAGAGUUAUAAAGUCGGCGGUAACGAGUGACUCUGAUGGCAGGAGGCGGUUGCCAUAGAGUCCUGAUGGCCAAUGCGCGGUCCAGGGUCGGGCGUCUAAUACCCCGUGUACUGUUGCAGUACCCAGCGUCGAACUAAUAUAUACGCAGUUGAUCGCACGUACGUACAAGGUAGUAUGGUAUAUAUAUGAGGAUGAUCGACCUGCUACCUAACGUGCAAACCAAGAAUUCAAAUGGUAAUAUCAUUAAUUAAUUCCGUAAGUAGCUAUACUACAAACCUUAUCAAAAUUCCCAACAUUACGGUAGUACAAAUAGGAGGUG
Molecule: ribosomal RNA, 6343 nt
Filed under: Triticum aestivum (bread wheat)
Lineage: Eukaryota; Viridiplantae; Streptophyta; Magnoliopsida; Poales; Poaceae
Description: partial small subunit ribosomal RNA
Source: RNAcentral